UACCAUGACAUUGUCAACUGUAUUUAGUA
RNAcentral lists this non-coding RNA (29 nucleotides) under Mus musculus (house mouse). Lineage: Eukaryota; Metazoa; Chordata; Mammalia; Rodentia; Muridae. The record is from RNAcentral.